RNAcentral lists this microRNA precursor (122 nucleotides) under Ovis aries (sheep). RNAcentral describes it as "miRNA (ENSOARG00000023468.1)". Lineage: Eukaryota; Metazoa; Chordata; Mammalia; Artiodactyla; Bovidae. The record is from RNAcentral.
UCUGGGACAUCAUCAUGUAUGUAUGUGUGUGCAUGUAUAUAUAUAUAUAUAUAUAUACACACACACAACAUAUAUAUAUUUAUAUAUACAUACAUACACAUAUAUUUAUAUAUAUAUAUAAA